Molecule: ribosomal RNA, 462 nt
Filed under: uncultured bacterium
Lineage: Bacteria
Description: partial 16S ribosomal RNA
Rfam family: Bacterial small subunit ribosomal RNA
Source: RNAcentral
GACGAACGCUAGCGGCGUGCUUAACACAUGCAAGUCGAGCGGAAAGGCCCUUCGGGGUACUCGAGCGGCGAACGGGUGAGUAACACGUGAGUAACCUGCCCCAGACUUUGGGAUAACCCUCGGAAACGGGGGCUAAUACCGGAUACGACACAGCUUCGCAUGGGGUCUGUGUGGAAAGUUUUUCGGUUUGGGAUGGGCUCGCGGCCUAUCAGCUUGUUGGUGGGGUGAUGGCCUACCAAGGCGACGACGGGUAGCCGGCCUGAGAGGGCGACCGGCCACACUGGGACUGAGACACGGCCCAGACUCCUACGGGAGGCAGCAGUGGGGAAUAUUGCACAAUGGGCGGAAGCCUGAUGCAGCGACGCCGCGUGAGGGGUGACGGCCUUCGGGUUGUAAACCUCUUUCAGCAGGGACGAAGCGUAAGUGACGGUACCUGCAGAAGAAGCGCCGGCCAACUACGUG